UUUAAAUUUAGAGUUUGAUCCUGGCUCAGGACGAACGCUGGCGGCGUGCUUAACACAUGCAAGUCGAGCGAUGAAGCUUCCUUCGGGGAGUGGAUUAGCGGCGGACGGGUGAGUAACACGUGGGUAACCUGCCUCAAAGUGGGGGAUAGCCUUCCGAAAGGAAGAUUAAUACCGCAUAAUAUAAGAGAAUCGCAUGAUUUUCUUAUCAAAGAUUUAUUGUUUUGAGAUGGACCCGCGGCGCAUUAGCUAGUUGGUAAGGUAACGGCUUACCAAGGCAACGAUGCGUAGCCGACCUGAGAGGGUGAUCGGCCACAUUGGAACUGAGACACGGUCCAGACUCCUACGGGAGGCAGCAGUGGGGAAUAUUGCGCAAUGGGGGAAACCCUGACGCAGCAACGCCGCGUGGGUGAUGAAGGUCUUCGGAUUGUAAAGCCCUGUUUUCUAGGACGAUAAUGACGGUACUAGAGGAGGAAGCCACGGCUAACUACGUGCCAGCAGCCGCGGUAAUACGUAGGUGGCGAGCGUUGUCCGGAUUUACUGGGCGUAAAGGGUGCGUAGGCGGAUGUUUAAGUGGGAUGUGAAAUCCCCGGGCUUAACCUGGGGGCUGCAUUCCAAACUGGAUAUCUAGAGUGCAGGAGAGGAAAGCGGAAUUCCUAGUGUAGCGGUGAAAUGCGUAGAGAUUAGGAAGAACACCAGUGGCGAAGGCGGCUUUCUGGACUGUAACUGACGCUGAGGCACGAAAGCGUGGGUAGCAAACAGGAUUAGAUACCCUGGUAGUCCACGCCGUAAACGAUGGAUACUAGGUGUAGGGGGUAUCAACUCCCCCUGUGCCGCAGUUAACACAAUAAGUAUCCCGCCUGGGGAGUACGGUCGCAAGAUUAAAACUCAAAGGAAUUGACGGGGGCCCGCACAAGCAGCGGAGCAUGUGGUUUAAUUCGAAGCAACGCGAAGAACCUUACCUGGACUUGACAUCCCUUGCAUAGCCUAGAGAUAGGUGAAGCCCUUCGGGGCAAGGAGACAGGUGGUGCAUGGUUGUCGUCAGCUCGUGUCGUGAGAUGUUAGGUUAAGUCCUGCAACGAGCGCAACCCUUGUUAUUAGUUGCUACCAUUAAGUUGAGCACUCUAAUGAGACUGCCUGGGUAACCAGGAGGAAGGUGGGGAUGACGUCAAAUCAUCAUGCCCCUUAUGUCCAGGGCUACACACGUGCUACAAUGGUAGGUACAAUAAGACGCAAGACCGUGAGGUGGAGCAAAACUUAUAAAACCUAUCUCAGUUCGGAUUGUAGGCUGCAACUCGCCUACAUGAAGCUGGAGUUGCUAGUAAUCGCGAAUCAGAAUGUCGCGGUGAAUACGUUCCCGGGCCUUGUACACACCGCCCGUCACACCAUGAGAGCUGGUAACACCCGAAGUCCGUGAGGUAACCGUAAGGAGCCAGCGGCCGAAGGUGGGAUUAGUGAUUGGGGUGAAGUCGUAACAAGGUAGCCGUAGGAGAACCUGCGGCUGGAUCACCUCCUUUCUA
Molecule: ribosomal RNA, 1517 nt
Filed under: Clostridium botulinum
Lineage: Bacteria; Bacillati; Bacillota; Clostridia; Eubacteriales; Clostridiaceae
Description: bacterial SSU rRNA
Rfam family: Bacterial small subunit ribosomal RNA
Source: RNAcentral